Molecule: ribosomal RNA, 301 nt
Filed under: uncultured bacterium
Lineage: Bacteria
Description: partial 16S ribosomal RNA
Rfam family: Bacterial small subunit ribosomal RNA
Source: RNAcentral
CAGUCGCCGCGGUAAAACGAAGGGUGCAAGCGUUACUCGGAAUUACUGGGCGUAAAGCGUGCGUAGGUGGUGGUUUAAGUCCGUUGUGAAAGCCCUGGGCUCAACCUGGGAAUUGCAGUGGAUACUGGGUCACUAGAGUGUGGUAGAGGAUAGUGGAAUUUCCGGUGUAGCAGUGAAAUGCGUAGAGAUCGGAAGGAACAUCUGUGGCGAAGGCGACUAUCUGGGCCAACACUGACACUGAGGCACGAAAGCGUGGGGAGCAAGCAGGAUUAGAUACCCCCGUAGUCCCUGUCUCUUAUAC